This 558-nucleotide ribosomal RNA is filed under the name uncultured bacterium. RNAcentral's name for it is "bacterial SSU rRNA". It matches the Rfam family "Bacterial small subunit ribosomal RNA", at positions 339 to 917 of the family's 1533-position model. The record is from RNAcentral.
CUACGGGAGGCAGCAGUGGGGAAUCUUGCACAAUGGAGGAAACUCUGAUGCAGCGAUGCCGCGUGAGUGAAGAAGGCCCUUGGGUUGUAAAGCUCUUUCGUCGGGGAAGAAAAUGACUGUACCCGUAUAAGAAGGUCCGGCUAACUUCGUGCCAGCAGCCGCGGUAAUACGAAGGGACCUAGCGUAGUUCGGAAUUACUGGGCUUAAAGAGUUCGUAGGUGGUUGAAAAAGUUAGUGGUGAAAUCCCAGAGCUUAACUCUGGAACUGCCAUUAAAACUUUUCAGCUAGAGUAUGAUAGAGGAAAGCAGAAUUUCUAGUGUAGAGGUGAAAUUCGUAGAUAUUAGAAAGAAUACCAAUUGCGAAGGCAGCUUUCUGGAUCAUUACUGACACUGAGGAACGAAAGCAUGGGUAGCGAAGAGGAUUAGAUACCCUCGUAGUCCAUGCCGUAAACGAUGUGUGUUAGACGUUGGAAAUUUAUUUUCGGUGUCGCAGGGAAACCGAUAAACACACCGCCUGGGGAGUACGACCGCAAGGUUAAAACUCAAAGGAAUUGACGGA